GGAGGCUUCGCCUAGUCUGGUCUAUGGCGCCGCACUGCUAAUGCGGUUUGGGCCUUAAAGCCCAUCGAGGGUUCAAAUCCCUCAGCCUCCG
This 91-nucleotide transfer RNA is filed under the name Streptomyces hygroscopicus. RNAcentral's name for it is "tRNA-Ser". It matches the Rfam family "tRNA". Rfam says of the family: Transfer RNA (tRNA) molecules are approximately 80 nucleotides in length. Their secondary structure includes four short double-helical elements and three loops (D, anti-codon, and T loops). Lineage: Bacteria; Bacillati; Actinomycetota; Actinomycetes; Kitasatosporales; Streptomycetaceae. The record is from RNAcentral. RNAcentral also lists the same sequence under 42 other names.